This 687-nucleotide ribosomal RNA is filed under the name Pantoea agglomerans. Its description in RNAcentral is "bacterial SSU rRNA". It matches the Rfam family "Bacterial small subunit ribosomal RNA", at positions 97 to 781 of the family's 1533-position model. The record is from RNAcentral. Lineage: Bacteria; Pseudomonadati; Pseudomonadota; Gammaproteobacteria; Enterobacterales; Erwiniaceae.
GGCGGACGGGUGAGUAAUGUCUGGGAAACUGCCCGAUGGAGGGGGAUAACUACUGGAAACGGUAGCUAAUACCGCAUAACGUCGCAGACCAAAGUGGGGGACCUUCGGGCCUCACACCAUCGGAUGUGCCCAGAUGGGAUUAGCUAGUAGGUGGGGUAAUGGCUCACCUAGGCGACGAUCCCUAGCUGGUCUGAGAGGAUGACCAGCCACACUGGAACUGAGACACGGUCCAGACUCCUACGGGAGGCAGCAGUGGGGAAUAUUGCACAAUGGGCGCAAGCCUGAUGCAGCCAUGCCGCGUGUAUGAAGAAGGCCUUCGGGUUGUAAAGUACUUUCAGCGGGGAGGAAGGCGGUGAGGUUAAUAACCUUGCCGAUUGACGUUACCCGCAGAAGAAGCACCGGCUAACUCCGUGCCAGCAGCCGCGGUAAUACGGAGGGUGCAAGCGUUAAUCGGAAUUACUGGGCGUAAAGCGCACGCAGGCGGUCUGUUAAGUCAGAUGUGAAAUCCCCGGGCUUAACCUGGGAACUGCAUUUGAAACUGGCAGGCUUGAGUCUCGUAGAGGGGGGUAGAAUUCCAGGUGUAGCGGUGAAAUGCGUAGAGAUCUGGAGGAAUACCGGUGGCGAAGGCGGCCCCCUGGACGAAGACUGACGCUCAGGUGCGAAAGCGUGGGGAGCAAACAGGAUUAG